GCAGCUGCCAGAUCAUCAUCAGCCAUCACCUCCACAGGCAACUGAAGCAACUCCUCUUUCCUACAAUAAUUAAAUGGAAGAAAUAUGGGAAUGUAUAAGUAUGGAUACUUGGUGGAAAAUGGGACUCUUUGAAUCUCUAUAUGAAAAGGUGGUUUGGAAGAAAUCCUGUACUGGUGUGGCAAAGACAAAGAGGAAUACUGCUGUAACAAGUAGUGCGCCUGUUCCGACCAGUGUCUGCUUCAGCAUCUUGAUGACUGGUUUGACCUAGGAGGUUGCUGGUGGGACUCCUGGAGGCUGCAGUUUCUCUUCUACUUUUCUUCUGGAGGUCCCUCUCUGAUACACCUGACCCAUAAACUGGUUAGGUUUGUAUUAGGGCUUUCACGCAUCACAAAGGUUUGCAUUUGCAACUCACUCACCCUUGAGGGAUUAAAGCUGGCUGCUGCAAUUGGAAUUCCAAGAACUGUGAAAGUUGCCAACCAUAGACCACCGAGACGAA
Carica papaya (papaya) is the source of this 496-nucleotide non-coding RNA. The record is from RefSeq and is a predicted model, not a curated record. NCBI's taxonomy places the organism in Eukaryota, Viridiplantae, Streptophyta, Magnoliopsida, Brassicales, Caricaceae.